CAGUUUCAAUAAAUACACCAACUUGAUCUGUGCACCGACCUAAGGUCCUAGGAGACAAAGGAAUACUUUUAAGCGCACCGAAGAAGAAAUACUGGCCGACCUCUCAAUGACAUCGGAAGCGAUCCCAACAGCAAACGAAUGGAAUAGAAGAAGUCCAAGACAUCGAUGUGCGGCCUUCCACUUCAAACUCCAACAAAAGAAAAUCAAAAGCAAUGGCAGGAUUUGAAGAAAAGUUCCUGAUUGUAGAGGAAAAAAAAGUUAAAAUAAUGGAGAAUUUAAAUUUAAAAAAGAUAAGCAAAAACUCAAUGUAGAAAAGUUUAGAGCCGAAGGAAUUUAUAGAAAUAAGCAAUUAGAUUUCGAAUUAGAAAAAUGCAAUUAAAAGAAACGGAAUUUGAAUGGAAAAAACAAAACUAGGUUAAUGUUU
Molecule: unclassified non-coding RNA, 424 nt
Filed under: Rhagoletis pomonella (apple maggot)
Lineage: Eukaryota; Metazoa; Arthropoda; Insecta; Diptera; Tephritidae
Description: uncharacterized LOC118745692, transcript variant X3
Source: RNAcentral